AACGCGAAGAACCUUACCUACCCUUGACAUCCUGCGAAUCCCGAUGAGAGUUGGGAGUGCCGCAAGGAGCGCAGAGACAGGUGCUGCAUGGCUGUCGUCAGCUCGUGUUGUGAGAUGUUGGGUUAAGUCCCGUAACGAGCGCAACCCUUGUCCUUAGUUGCCAUCAUUUAGUUGGGGACUCUAAGGAGACUGCCGGUGAUGAACCGGAGGAAGGCGGGGACGACGUCAAGUCAUCAUGGCCUUUAUGGGUAGGGCUACACACGUGCUACAAUGGGGCGUACAGAGGGUCGCCAACCCGCGAGGGGGAGCCAAUCUCUUAAAGCGUCUCGUAGUCCGGAUCGGAGUCUGCAACUCGACUCCGUGAAGUCGGAAUCGCUAGUAAUCGCGAAUCAGCAUUGUCGCGGUGAAUACGUUCCCGGGCCUUGUACACACCGUAGAGAC
Molecule: ribosomal RNA, 441 nt
Filed under: uncultured bacterium
Lineage: Bacteria
Description: bacterial SSU rRNA
Rfam family: Bacterial small subunit ribosomal RNA
Source: RNAcentral